This 253-nucleotide ribosomal RNA is filed under the name uncultured bacterium. RNAcentral's name for it is "partial 16S ribosomal RNA". It matches the Rfam family "Bacterial small subunit ribosomal RNA", at positions 524 to 776 of the family's 1533-position model. The record is from RNAcentral.
UACGUAGGGUGCAAGCGUUAAUCGGAAUUACCGGGCGUAAAGCGUGCGCAGGCGGUUUUGUAAGUCUGACGUGAAAUCCCCGGGCUCAACCUGGGAAUUGCGUUGGAGACUGCAAGGCUGGAGUCUGGCAGAGGGGGGUAGAAUUCCACGUGUAGCAGUGAAAUGCGUAGAGAUGUGGAGGAACACCGAUGGCGAAGGCAGCCCCCUGGGUCAAGACUGACGCUCAUGCACGAAAGCGUGGGGAGCAAACAGG